CCCGCCCGGGCGCCCCCUCCCCCACCACGCCUGGAUCCCUGCCGGGCUCCCGGAGCGGAGACUGUGCCUUCUGCAACAGGGCUGUGCUCCAGGCCAGAACCAGCAGCUGAUUUAGAUACCAUCAAGACACCUAAAACCUUAUCAUGAGCCAGAUGCUGUGGAAGAGAUUCUGGGAGAAUCCUGAGGACCCCCCAGUUGCAGCCAUGUCAAGACUGAUGCUGAGGAGGACCCCAACUGUCACGAGCAACACCCGUCAAACACAGCCACCUACUUGGGGAAAGAUCAAGAAGCUGUCACAGAUGGUGGAAGAAAACCUGAGGAAAGCGGGACAACCAGUCACAAUGAGUAAUUUAAUGAUAGCUAUGAGAGCGGUGAUCACCAUUGCUUCUGCAGAUGCAGAUCCUGACUCCUGCGAGAAGUAGCUCACCGUGAUAAAGCUGCCUUUGCUUUUAUUGCCCUGCAAAAACAAGAAGGGGGACAUGCUGGGGAAUAGGCCCCCAAAUCUGGACAUAAACUGGCCCCAAAACUGGCCAUAAACAAAAUCUCUGCAGCGCUGUGACAUGUUCAUGGUGGCCAUAACGCCCUUGCUGGAAGAUUGUGGGUUUACCGGAAUGAGGGCGAGGAACACCUGGCCUAUCCAGGACGGAAAACCACUUAUAGGUAUUCCUAAACCACAAACAAUAGUAUGAGCAACCUAUGCCUUAAGGACAUGUUCCUGCUGCAGAUAACUAGCCAGAGCCCAUCCCUUUGUUUCGGCCCAUCCUUUUGUUUCCUGUAAGGAGUGCUUUUAGUUAAUCUAUAAUCUAUACAAACAAUACUUAUCACUGGCUUGCUGUCAAUAAAUAUGUGGGUAAAUCUCUGCUCAUGGCUCUCAGCUCUGAAGGCUGUGAGUCCCCUGAUUUCCCACUCCACAUGCUA
Long non-coding RNA from Pan troglodytes (chimpanzee), 918 nucleotides. RefSeq lists it as uncharacterized. The transcript is spliced from 3 exons. The record is from RefSeq and is a predicted model, not a curated record. Lineage: Eukaryota; Metazoa; Chordata; Mammalia; Primates; Hominidae.